GAGUUUGAUCCUGGCUCAGAACGAACGCUGGCGGCGUGCCUAACACAUGCAAGUCGAACGUGAUCCAGAGCUUGCUCUGGUGAAAGUGGCGCACGGGUGAGUAACGCGUGGAUAACCUACCCUGGUAUCCGGGAUAACAUUCCGAAAGGGGUGCUAAUACCGGAUAAGCCCACGGGCUCUUUGGAGCUUGCGGGAAAAGGUGGCCUCUAUUUAUAAGCUACUGUAUCAGGAUGGGUCCGCGUACCAUUAGCUAGUUGGCGGUGUAACGGACCACCAAGGCGACGAUGGUUAGCUGGUCUGAGAGGAUGAUCAGCCACACUGGAACUGAGACACGGUCCAGACUCCUACGGGAGGCAGCAGUGGGGAAUUUUGCGCAAGGGGGGAAACCCUGACGCAGCAACGCCGCGUGAGUGAUGAAGGCCUUUGGGUCGUAAAGCUCUGUCAGAGGGGAAGAAAUGAUAUAGUGCUAAUACCACUUUAUCUUGACGGUACCCUCAAAGGAAGCACCGGCUAACUCCGUGCCAGCAGCCGCGGUAAUAC
RNAcentral lists this ribosomal RNA (540 nucleotides) under uncultured Geobacteraceae bacterium. RNAcentral describes it as "bacterial SSU rRNA". It matches the Rfam family "Bacterial small subunit ribosomal RNA", at positions 9 to 526 of the family's 1533-position model. Lineage: Bacteria; Pseudomonadati; Thermodesulfobacteriota; Desulfuromonadia; Geobacterales; Geobacteraceae. The record is from RNAcentral.